This 499-nucleotide ribosomal RNA is filed under the name uncultured bacterium. RNAcentral's name for it is "partial 16S ribosomal RNA". It matches the Rfam family "Bacterial small subunit ribosomal RNA", at positions 28 to 507 of the family's 1533-position model. The record is from RNAcentral.
GACGAACGCUGGCGGCGUGCUUAACACAUGCAAGUCGAACGGGCCCGCUCUCUUUUUUGGGGGUGGGUUGAGUGGCGAACGGGUGAGUAUCACGUGAGUAACCUGCCCCCUGCUCCUGGAUAACUGCUUGAAAGGGCGGCUAAUACGGGGUGUGCCGGCUGGUCCGCAUGGGCCUGGUCGGGAUAGUUUCAUCUUCGGGUGUUUCGGUGGGGGAUGGGCUCGCGGCCUAUCAGCUUGUUGGUGGGGUGAUGGCCCACCAAGGCGGUGACGGGUAGCCGGCCUGAGAGGGUGGGCGGCCACACUGGGACUGAGACACGGCCCAGCCUCCUGCGGGAGGCAGCAGUGGGGGGUAUUGCACAAUGGGCGGAAGCCUGAUGCAGCGACGGCGCGUGAGGGAUGGAGGCCUUCGGGUUGUGAACCUCUUUCUCCGGUGGUGAAGGCCCUGUCCGUUGCGGCGGGGUUGACGGUAGCCGGGUAUGAAGCGCCGGCUAACUACGUG